UGGGAUUAAUCUUUUGAUCACUCUCAAAGAACCUUUUGAUUUCUAAGGUAUAAUUAUUUGUGCAGCUUUAGUAGUAUAUUUAGAUAUCGUGUAACAGUGUACACAAACACACAAAAAGUGUUUGCACGAUAUUGAAAUCCUCUUGUAAUUCUGCAUACAUGCAUGUACACAGGAUGCCAUCCACACUAAUCCAAGCUUCGUAUUUGUAUUUUAUUGCAUUAGGUGGAUUUGCUAGGAGAUGAACUGGAUCUACUUUUUGGGUUGCUUGAGAAGAUCUAUAUCGCACUGGAUCACUAUUCACCAGUUUUGCAGCAUUAUUCUGGGAUAACUGAGGUCUUAAGAAUGAUUAGGAGAGAAAUAUACGGUGAAGUGGCUAAUACAUCCAGGCAGUAACAACAGUGCUUUCUUCUUCUGCAAUUAUUUGCACAUAUCAUGAGCAAACAUAUGCUCAGAAAUAUUAUCUCAGAGAAUUGGGUAUGAGAUGUCACUUCUCAUCAAUCCAGUGAUGGAUAUAAGCAUACAUGAGCCACUGCAAAGCUCAGCUGCUCCCUAUGUUGAAGAGGACAGACACACUGAAACACCAAACCCAAAUUAAGAAGCCAAUUGAUCUCCAAUCAACAAAACAAGAAGCAAACAAGCAUUGCAUAUGGAGAUCCCUGAAGCUUCCUGGUAGAUGAUAGAUAUAUCAAAGCCCUAAAUUUGAUGCCUUCUCAACUACAAUACUAGUUUGAUAUAUGUUGAAACCAGCUGCAGUAAUCUGUAAUGUGGCUUAUCUUCCAUUGAGGCAAAACUCCUGUUGAAGUUAACCUUCAAAGGUGUGGUGGCACAAAUUGAUGUAGAAAAUAGU
This is a long non-coding RNA of Musa acuminata AAA Group (dessert banana), 847 nucleotides long. RefSeq lists it as uncharacterized. The record is from RefSeq and is a predicted model, not a curated record. The transcript has 3 exons. Lineage: Eukaryota; Viridiplantae; Streptophyta; Magnoliopsida; Zingiberales; Musaceae.